GAAAUGCGAUAAGUAAUGUGAAUUGCAGAAUUCCGUGAAUCAUCGAAUCUUUGAACGCACAUUGCGCCCUCUGGUAUUCCGGAGGGCAUGCCUGUUCGAGCGUCAUUUCAACCCCUUCAAGCCCGGCUUGUGUGUUGAGCGGCGGUCCCGUUGGGUGUUAACCCUGAGGGGCCGGCUUCAAAUUCAGUGGCAGCGCCGCUAUAUUCAAGGGUGACUGAGCACAUGGGGAAAGAAUAGGAGCACUGUUCCUGCUGUCUUCGUGCUUGUUAAAAAGUCCCCGGUGGCCGCUUGCCUCGGUGUCGAAUCUUUCGGCAUACUUCUUAACUAGGUUGACCUCGGAUCAGGUAGGGAUACCCGCUGAACUUAA
RNAcentral lists this unclassified non-coding RNA (367 nucleotides) under uncultured Eurotiomycetes. RNAcentral describes it as "sequence contains ITS1". The stretch from base 1 to 105 matches the Rfam family "5.8S ribosomal RNA", at positions 50 to 154 of the family's 154-position model. The record is from RNAcentral. Lineage: Eukaryota; Fungi; Ascomycota; Eurotiomycetes.